Molecule: ribosomal RNA, 858 nt
Filed under: uncultured bacterium
Lineage: Bacteria
Description: SSU rRNA
Rfam family: Bacterial small subunit ribosomal RNA
Source: RNAcentral
UACGUAGGGUGCAAGCGUUGUCCGGAAUUAUUGGGCGUAAAGAGCUCGUAGGCGGUUUGUCGCGUCUGCUGUGAAAACCUGAGGCUCAACCUCAGACCUGCAGUGGGUACGGGCAAGCUAGAGUGCGGUAGGGGAGAUGGGAAUUUCUGGUGUAGCGGUGGAAUGCGCAGAUAUCAGAAGGAACACCAAUGGCGAAGGCACAUCUCUGGGCCGUAACUGACGCUGAGGAGCGAAAGCGUGGGGAGCGAACAGGAUUAGAUACCCUGGUAGUCCACGCCGUAAACGGUGGGUGCUAGUUGUGGGCUCCAUUCCACGGAGUCCGUGACGAAGUUAACACAUUAAGCACCCCGCCUGGGGAGUACGGUCGCAAGACUAAAACUCAAAGGAAUUGACGGGGGCCCGCACAAGCGGCGGAGCAUGCGGAUUAAUUCGAUGCAACGCGAAGAACCUUACCAAGGCUUGACAUAUAGAGGAAACGUGCAGAAAUGUACGCCCCGCAAGGUCUCUAUACAGGUGGUGCAUGGUUGUCGUCAGCUCGUGUCGUGAGAUGUUGGGUUAAGUCCCGCAACGAGCGCAACCCUCGUCCUAUGUUGCCAGCACGUUAUGGUGGGAACUCAUGGGAAACUGCCGGGGUCAACUCGGAGGAAGGUGGGGAUGACGUCAAAUCAUCAUGCCCCUUAUGUCUUGGGCUUCACGCAUGCUACAAUGGCCGGUACAGAGGGCUGCAAUACCGCAAGGUGGAGCGAAUCCCAAAAAGCCGGUCUCAGUUCGGAUUGAGGUCUGCAACUCGACCUCAUGAAGUCGGAGUCGCUAGUAAUCGCAGAUCAGCAACGCUGCGGUGAAUACGUUCCCGGGCCU